RNAcentral lists this long non-coding RNA (271 nucleotides) under Anser brachyrhynchus (Pink-footed goose). RNAcentral describes it as "lncRNA (ENSABRG00000015903.1)". The record is from RNAcentral. Lineage: Eukaryota; Metazoa; Chordata; Aves; Anseriformes; Anatidae.
GAAUUGGAAGAGGCUACCUUGAAUGCAGUCCUGUCUUCCAUCAGGCAGUAUGCAUUGCUGCAUUGUUAAAGAUCUGCUACUUCCGUUGAUGCAUGCCUCAUUUGGGAGGUACUACAGGUUCAAGAUAUACUUUUGUCCAUACAACAGUAAGAAAAAAUAUUCUUUGAGAUACCUGGAUUCCCAGUGCAAGGAAAUGUUUGAGGAAUCCUGUUAUUUAGCAAGAAGAAAAACUUGCAGUUACCAUGUCACAACAUAUGAUGAAGACCCAUAG